UGAACGCUAGCGACAGGCCUAACACAUGCAAGUCAGGGGCAGCACAAGGAGCAAUCUGAGGUGGCGACCGGCGCACGGGUGAGUAACACGUAUGCAACCUGCCUGUAAGCGGGGAAUAACCCGUUGAAAGACGGACUAAUACCGCAUAAUACUAAAUUACUGCAUGGUAAUUAUUUAAACAUUUAUGGCUUACAGAUGGGCAUGCGCAUGAUUAGCUAGUUGGAGAGGUAACGGCUCCCCAAGGCAACGAUCAUUAGGGGUUCUGAGAGGAAGGUCCCCCACACUGGUACUGAGACACGGACCAGACUCCUACGGGAGGCAGCAGUGAGGAAUAUUGGUCAAUGGACGAGAGUCUGAACCAGCCAAGUCGCGUGCAGGAAGAAUGUCCCUAUGGAUUGUAAACUGCUUUUGCAGGGGAAUAAAGUGCAUCACGUGUGAUGUUUUGUAUGUACUCUGCGAAUAAGGAUCGGCUAACUCCGUGCCAGCCGCUGC
Molecule: ribosomal RNA, 492 nt
Filed under: uncultured bacterium
Lineage: Bacteria
Description: bacterial SSU rRNA
Rfam family: Bacterial small subunit ribosomal RNA
Source: RNAcentral